RNAcentral lists this ribosomal RNA (434 nucleotides) under uncultured bacterium. RNAcentral describes it as "partial 16S ribosomal RNA". It matches the Rfam family "Bacterial small subunit ribosomal RNA", at positions 29 to 507 of the family's 1533-position model. The record is from RNAcentral.
AGCGAACGCUGGCGGCAGGCCUAACACAUGCAAGUCGAACGAACCUUCCGGGGUUUGUGGCGGCUGGGGGUGUAACCGGUGGGAACGUUCCCUUAUGGAUGGCAUAACUCUAGGAAACUUGUGCUAAUAGCAAACGUGCGCUACGGGGGGAUGAUAUAUUGAACUUAGAGCGUCACGCGUCUGAUUAGCUAGUUGGUUGAGGUAUUGGCUCACCAACGCGGCGAUCGGUAGUUGGUCUGGGAGCAAGGUCAGCCACAUUGGGACUGUGACACAGCCCAAACUCCUACGGGAGGGAGCAGAGGGGAAUCGUGCGCAACGGGCGAAAGGCUGACGCAGCCAUGCCGCGUGAAUGAUGAAGGUCGUAGGAAAGUAAAAUUCUUUCAACGGGGACGAUAAUGACGGUACCCAGAGAAGAAGCCCCGGCUAACUUCGUG